Molecule: long non-coding RNA, 1050 nt
Organism: Gymnodraco acuticeps
Lineage: Eukaryota; Metazoa; Chordata; Actinopteri; Perciformes; Bathydraconidae
Exons: 4
Source: RefSeq, a predicted model, not a curated record
ACACAUUCACACAUUAAGGUAACAUGAAGUUAAAAGCAUUCAUAAAGGCAAGCCCUGCUUUCAAAAGAUUUUGAAUGCAGGGCUUUUACUUGUCAUUGAAUAGUUUUACUCUGUUAAAUCACCUUCACACAUGUUUUAAGAAAUAGGAAAAGUACUUGUAAAUCAUCUGUAUCUGAUAUCAAUCUUAAAAUGUCAUCUACUUAGUUGACCCCAAAAUCUGUGAAUAUGCAUAUUUUUUUAUUUCAACUGUCAGUCUUCAGGCUAUGAGUGUAGAAUCACAUACAUUACUCUCCACAGUGAAAAUAUAAACAUAUACAGUAGAAAGACAAGCCAAAAAAAUUACUUUGAGUGAAGGAAGACAUAAAAAUACACAAUCAAUCACUUACUGGUAUAAAUGUAAGGUCACCCAGGGCCAAACAGUCAUAAUAAGCUGUUUUGCACAUACACAUGCAUAUCAUGUUAAUAAUAAUAAUAGAUUUAUUUUGUUAGCGCUUUUACAGGUGCUCAAAGACGCUUUACAGAUAUAGUGAAAAGAAAAGAAAUUGUGAAAUGUUACUUUCUUCUUUUAAAUCUGUGUGUUCAGCUGUACCCAGCUUGGUCUCUAGAUGGCACUAAGUCAUAAGUGAACCUGAGGUGGAUGGGAGCAUAAUUAAAAAUGGUAGUAAUAGGCUUUUGAUUGAAUUAACUGCCCCACGUGCCAGUAAUUCAGAGUGCAGGGUCGACGUGGAUAAAGAUUUGUUUUUCUUUCUUUCAAAUAGACAACACCAGGUCCAGUGUCUCUUCAGAUGAACGCUGCUUGAGAUGGUGCUCAACAUCUGCUCAGCGAGCGAGAGAGCACUGUUCCACUACUCCUGCAGUUUGCCAGUCUACCAUCACACAUUGAAUUCUGGGGAACCACGGCGAUGCUAACUCCCACAUCGGCUUACAACAAUGCAUAAUCCUUGCUGCACUUAAUUACCUACAACGCAGUGAGGCAAAACAUCCAAGAGCCAGGACGUCCGUUGAAGUCGAAGUGGGCGGAUACCGCCGGCAGCAGUCAGUCAAAUCCAG